Molecule: long non-coding RNA, 623 nt
Organism: Pygocentrus nattereri (red-bellied piranha)
Lineage: Eukaryota; Metazoa; Chordata; Actinopteri; Characiformes; Serrasalmidae
Exons: 4
Source: RefSeq, a predicted model, not a curated record
GUUUCUCACAACACACAGCGGCUAACUUUUACCCAACCGGCUAACUUUCCACGAAGAAGGACGAAGUUAAGGACGCGGCUGAUCCAAUCAGAGACUGGGUGAGCUGGCAUGUCCGCAGCAGGUGAGCCGUUCCCCUUUGUGUCUCUGUGUGUUUGAGCCGCCUUUGUCCCGGCCCACCUGGGCAGCCUGUUCCCCUCUUGUGUAUGGAUUCUCUAGCAUGUCUGUGUGGUUAGACGGAGGCCGCCUGAUCUGCUGUUUCUCAUCGGUUUCGUCAGCACAGCCGCACAAGCUGGAUAAUUAGAUCAAACAAUGGGAUUAGAGCUCGUUACAAAAUGAGUGCCUCCUCCAUGCUUUGGAGCCAUGUCCAUGCCGCACUUUGCAAGAGUUCAACUCUAAGGACGCCAGGAUGGCACUCCAUCAUUAAUUUUGGUUGGCGCUCUAGCUGGCCACAGCAGGACAUUCUCCUCCCGUCUUGCAGAGAAUAAAGGGUGCAGGAAUGGCUUGAAGUCCCGAAGUCAGGUGUAUUCCUUUCUUCAGUGAAAAAAGCAAGCAUCCCAGGCUUGGAUUCAUCUUUUGUGUGUUUGGCGGCUUCCAUCUGUGCAGGCUGACCAGGCCUCCCUCAC